RNAcentral lists this transfer RNA (78 nucleotides) under Lutimonas sp. Its description in RNAcentral is "tRNA-Pro". It matches the Rfam family "tRNA". From Rfam's summary of the family: Transfer RNA (tRNA) molecules are approximately 80 nucleotides in length. Their secondary structure includes four short double-helical elements and three loops (D, anti-codon, and T loops). Further hydrogen bonds mediate the characteristic L-shaped molecular structure. tRNAs have two regions of fundamental functional importance: the anti-codon, which is responsible for specific mRNA codon recognition, and the 3' end, to which the tRNAs corresponding amino acid is attached (by aminoacyl-tRNA synthetases). tRNAs cope with the degeneracy of the genetic code in two manners: having more than one tRNA (with a specific anti-codon) for a particular amino acid; and 'wobble' base-pairing, i.e. permitting non-standard base-pairing at the 3rd anti-codon position. Lineage: Bacteria; Pseudomonadati; Bacteroidota; Flavobacteriia; Flavobacteriales; Flavobacteriaceae. The record is from RNAcentral. RNAcentral also lists the same sequence under 1 other name.
CGGGGUGUAGCGUAGCCCGGUUAGCGCGCCGGCAUGGGGUGCCGGAGGUCGGAGGUUCAAAUCCUCUCACCCCGACCA